RNAcentral lists this unclassified non-coding RNA (335 nucleotides) under soil metagenome. RNAcentral's name for it is "partial contains 5.8S ribosomal RNA, internal transcribed spacer 2, and large subunit ribosomal RNA". The stretch from base 1 to 120 matches the Rfam family "5.8S ribosomal RNA", at positions 35 to 154 of the family's 154-position model. The record is from RNAcentral.
GAUGAAGAACGCAGCGAAAUGCGAUAAGUAAUGUGAAUUGCAGAAUUCAGUGAAUCAUCGAAUCUUUGAACGCACAUUGCGCCCGCCAGUAUUCUGGCGGGCAUGCCUGUUCGAGCGUCAUUUCAACCAUCAAGCCCCCGGCUUGUGUUGGGGACCUGCGGCUGCCGCAGGCCCUGAAAACCAGUGGCGGGCUCGCUAGUCACUCCGAGCGUAGUAAUACAUCUCGCUCAGGGCGUGCUGCGGGUUCCGGCCGUUAAAAAGCCUUAUUUACCCAAGGUUGACCUCGGAUCAGGUAGGAAGACCCGCUGAACUUAAGCAUAUCAAUAAGCGGAAGA